Molecule: non-coding RNA, 343 nt
Organism: Triticum urartu
Lineage: Eukaryota; Viridiplantae; Streptophyta; Magnoliopsida; Poales; Poaceae
Source: Rfam
CGUUAGAGCAUUGAGAUGACAUUUUCCUAGUACGAGAGGACCAAGAACGUCACACCCCUGGUGUACCUUAUCGUGCCUACGGUAAACGAUGGGUAGCCAAGUGCGGAGAGGAUAAAUUGCCGAAAGCAUAUAAGUAGUAAGCCCACCCCAAGAUGAGUGCUCUCUCCUUAGACUUCUCUAGAGCCUCUGGUAUCAUAGUUGAGAGAGCAACAAGUUCUCCACCCAUACGGGGACGAUGCGACAAUAGUAUGAAAAUAUGAUAAGAUAGCGGCAAGACGAAACGUUUAAAUAGGUGUCAAGUCGAAAGUGCAUUGUAUACAGCUAAGGCAUCCUAACAAAGGAA